AGGUGGAGGCUUCGGAGGCGGUGGAGGACUGGGAGGUGGAGGAGGCUUUGGCGGCGGUUUCGGAGGAUAAAACCUGAGGAAACCACGAAAAGCCGAUCGUCAACGCAUCACGUGACCAACCGAUUUCCGUCUCUCGGCCAAUCCCUUUGGAGGCGUCAUUGCAGAUUAAAGACUUUGAAAAAUC
Penaeus vannamei (Pacific white shrimp) is the source of this 184-nucleotide long non-coding RNA. RefSeq lists it as uncharacterized. The record is from RefSeq and is a predicted model, not a curated record. Lineage: Eukaryota; Metazoa; Arthropoda; Malacostraca; Decapoda; Penaeidae.